This 1069-nucleotide long non-coding RNA is filed under the name Meleagris gallopavo (turkey). RNAcentral's name for it is "lncRNA (ENSMGAG00000019430.1)". Lineage: Eukaryota; Metazoa; Chordata; Aves; Galliformes; Phasianidae. The record is from RNAcentral.
CUUUUAUCUGCCAACUUCUAUUGAGUUUGCUAAGCAGGAAGCAAUAGAUGAACCCCAACACAUCAGAAUAGCUAUGUGCAGAAUGCUGCUAUCACAGCUGACAUCAGUCACAUCACUCAAGCUUCUUGAGAAAUGGGUUCAAUGGUGCUUGAGAUAAAGUGUAGAAAAAAUACAAACCAAAGGAAGAUUUUCAGGAAGCCAGAAAGGCUAAAAGGGGACAGAUCAUGUGGUGUCUGUCUUUCCCUCACACUCUGAGGGAGCACAGAGCUGUGAUAUAUCAUCAGGACUGCUUUUCAGCUGCACGUGAGCAGCAGAGACAACAGCUGAGAGGCAUUUAACAGCUACCUUGUGAAGUUCACUGAGCUGCACCUGUGUGCUGUGAAGUUCUCUGCGUGGUCUCCACCAGGUAAAUACUUGUAAGUUUGAGUUUCAGGAUGUGUCCUUGAACCGCAGUUUACUUUCACUGAAAUAAAUGUAAAUAGUGAUGCUUUUAGCAUGUGAAUUGGUGUCUACCAAGCUGGGUCCAUAACUUCAUAAGACUUUAAAGCAGCAUAAAAAACUGACCGGUUAUAAAACUAAUAUAUUAAAAGAAGGGAAGAAAAUGAGAUGUUAAUGUUUAAAUGUAUUGGAUAGUUGCAGUUAAAUGUCCGGAUCUGCAUUUUCCCUCUGUUAGGAGUGGCUUAGCAGCAGCAAUGUUUUUGGUCACCAAAAAGUAUAUUUCAACCCCACAUUGAUAUUGAAUUACAAACUAAAAAUCUAUUUAAAUAAAUGAAAAAAAUGUAUAACUUGCAAUAUUUGUCCUCUAAAAAUUGUUAGAGAUUUAUUAGUGCUGAUAAUAGAAGAAGUAAUAGCGUAAUCAGAGCAUUAUAGAGGCUUUUUGGUUAUUUCUGCUUUGAGAUAAAUUUGAAUUUGACAGUGUCUCUAAAAAUGUUCGUGGCCCCUAACACUACAGAUUCUCCUACUGCUGCCACCCAGCAGAAAUGCCUAGAGCAGCAUUGCUAUGGUAGCUAAACCAGAUGGUGUUUUACCAUUACAGAAUCUCACCUGUGAAACAGAAAAGAGCUAUAGA